This 447-nucleotide ribosomal RNA is filed under the name uncultured bacterium. RNAcentral describes it as "bacterial SSU rRNA". It matches the Rfam family "Bacterial small subunit ribosomal RNA", at positions 335 to 800 of the family's 1533-position model. The record is from RNAcentral.
ACUCCUACGGGAGGCAGCAGUCGGGAAUUUUGGGCAAUGGGCGAAAGCCUGACCCAGCAACGCCGCGUGAAGGAUGAAGUCUUUCGGGAUGUAAACUUCGGAAAUAUGGGAAGAAUUUUGACGGUACCAUAUCUAAGGUCCGGCUAACUACGUGCCAGCAGCCGCGGUAAUACGUAGGGACCAAGCGUUGUUCGGAUUUACUGGGCGUAAAGGGUGCGUAGGCGGCGCCGCAAGUCACUUGUGAAAUCUCCGGGCUUAACUCGGAACGGCCAAGUGAUACUGCAGUGCUAGAGUGCAGAAUGGGCAAGUGGAAUUCUUGGUGUAGCGGUGAAAUGCGUAGAUAUCAAGAGGAACACCUGAGGCGAAGGCGACUUGCUGGGCUGACACUGACGCUGAGGCACGAAAGCCAGGGGAGCGAACGGGAUUAGAUACCCUGGUAGGCUCUGC